Molecule: ribosomal RNA, 256 nt
Filed under: uncultured bacterium
Lineage: Bacteria
Description: partial 16S ribosomal RNA
Rfam family: Bacterial small subunit ribosomal RNA
Source: RNAcentral
UACGUAGGGUGCGAGCGUUGUCCGGAAUUAUUGGGCGUAAAGGGCUCGUAGGCGGUUUGUCGCGUCGGGAGUGAAAACACCGGGCUUAACUCGGUGCUUGCUUUCGAUACGGGCAGACUAGAGGCAUGCAGGGGAGAACGGAAUUCCUGGUGUAGCGGUGAAAUGCGCAGAUAUCAGGAGGACCACCAAAAAAGGCGAAGGCAGCCAACUAUUCUAUUCCUGACACUGAGGCAUGAAAGCGUGGGGAGCAAACCGG